GGAGGAGUAAUCAAGCCUGGCCAAAGAUGCAGGACUUAAGAUCCUGUCUCUCAGGAGUUCGUGGGUUCAAAUCCCUCCUCCUCCA
This 85-nucleotide transfer RNA is filed under the name Candidatus Nitrosopumilus sp. RNAcentral's name for it is "Nitrosopumilus sp. tRNA-Leu". It matches the Rfam family "tRNA". Rfam says of the family: Transfer RNA (tRNA) molecules are approximately 80 nucleotides in length. Their secondary structure includes four short double-helical elements and three loops (D, anti-codon, and T loops). Further hydrogen bonds mediate the characteristic L-shaped molecular structure. tRNAs have two regions of fundamental functional importance: the anti-codon, which is responsible for specific mRNA codon recognition, and the 3' end, to which the tRNAs corresponding amino acid is attached (by aminoacyl-tRNA synthetases). tRNAs cope with the degeneracy of the genetic code in two manners: having more than one tRNA (with a specific anti-codon) for a particular amino acid; and 'wobble' base-pairing, i.e. permitting non-standard base-pairing at the 3rd anti-codon position. The record is from RNAcentral. Lineage: Archaea; Thermoproteati; Nitrososphaerota; Nitrososphaeria; Nitrosopumilales; Nitrosopumilaceae.